CAUUAAACUGGUCCCCACUGAUAGUCUCAAUCGAUGAGCGAACUCCAUGGUUUUUGAACUCGGUGUGUUUUCUCCUCAGUUCCUGUCACAGAUGCUGCGCUGAUAUCCCGCACCAAUGGGACUGAGAUACAGCCCGGGGACCGCCUUGUUCUCCGGUGCCUGGUGAGGGAAGGCACUGAGCCCCAGUUCAUUUGGUACCGUGACAACGUGCCGUUAAGAAACGGCAGUGCGAGCUCCCAUGUGACUGCCGAUGGUGGUGAGCUGGUUAUUCAUUCAUUCCGGAGAGACAAUGUCGGGAGGUAUCACUGUGCAGCGAUCAACAAAGGAACCAACGGCACCAUUUUUAACGUGACCAGCGACUAUAUCGAAUUCACGUUGCGAGCUCGGAGUUAUUCCACGGAGAUCGCGGCCUCGCUCGUCCCAGUUUUGCUGUUCGGUGGCCUGAUCGCGUCGGUGUGGUUCAUCCACCGGACGAGGGACACAGGCAAUUCCUCAACUGUGUCACAGCCCAAGAGAUCCCAAGCUUCUGGUGAAGGGGCAGCAGCCGGCAAUCUGGAGUAUGCAG
Rhincodon typus (whale shark) is the source of this 565-nucleotide long non-coding RNA. RefSeq lists it as uncharacterized. The transcript has 4 exons. The record is from RefSeq and is a predicted model, not a curated record. NCBI's taxonomy places the organism in Eukaryota, Metazoa, Chordata, Chondrichthyes, Orectolobiformes, Rhincodontidae.